Molecule: long non-coding RNA, 725 nt
Organism: Panicum virgatum (switchgrass)
Lineage: Eukaryota; Viridiplantae; Streptophyta; Magnoliopsida; Poales; Poaceae
Exons: 2
Source: RefSeq, a predicted model, not a curated record
CCGGGAAAAGGAAGGCCGUCUCUGAGGUGAUAGCGAAGAGGAAACAGGGAAAAGGAAGGCCGGUCCCUGUCGUCCCCGAUCUCUCCCUCUCGGUACUUAACCCCCCACCCACCUGUUAGACAAAGAGCAAGCGGAUCGAGAGGCUGCAAGCAAGCAAGCAAGGAAUCUUGCGGCCGGCCGGACGAUUUUGGUUUGCUUCCAAGGGAAAACCUUCGGCCCGCACGGCCGCGCCAUCUAAAAUUCCCAACCAGACCCCAGCGUCCCCUGCGAACGGCCGCACGCGACGCGAACCGCGAACCCGAGCAGAAGCCAGGCAGGCAGGGGCAACUGCAGGGCGGGCGCCAUCAAGCAGCAAGCAGCAAGCAUGCUGGAGCUCCUGCUGGUGGGGUGCAGCAGCGUGGUGCUCCUCCUCCACGGCGCCAGCCUCUUCCUCCGCGCGCUCUUCGCCCCGCGCCACGUCGCCGCCAGGCCCAUCAGCUUCCUAGGGUUCGUGGCCUGACCGACAGAUCGGGUGAGGUCCCGGUCGAUCGAGGUGCGGAGAUCGUCGCCGACGGAUUAAGGAGAUCGAUCGCUGGUGUGAAGUAGAGCCCCUCGACCGGCGUAGAUAGCUUUCCAGGUCGUGUUCCUGUGGAUUGUGAAAAACACGAGUACUCACUACGCGUGUAAAAUUGUCCAAGUUACACCACAUCAACGAACUGUGCUUCAAGUUUAUUAGUUCGUGCAUC